UGGCGACCGGCGCACGGGUGAGUAACGCGUAUGCAACUUACCUAUCAGAGGGGGAUAGCCCGGCGAAAGUCGGAUUAAUACCCCAUGAAACAGGGGUCCCGCAUGGGAAUAUUUGUUAAAGAUUCAUCGCUGAUAGAUAGGCAUGCGUUCCAUUAGGCAGUUGGCGGGGUAACGGCCCACCAAACCGACGAUGGAUAGGGGUUCUGAGAGGAAGGUCCCCCACAUUGGAACUGAGACACGGUCCAA
Molecule: ribosomal RNA, 246 nt
Filed under: uncultured bacterium
Lineage: Bacteria
Description: partial 16S ribosomal RNA
Rfam family: Bacterial small subunit ribosomal RNA
Source: RNAcentral